UCAGCAUCCCAACCAUAUCUGCAACAGAAGCGACAGAGAUAGAAAGACGAAAAGAGAGUCACAAAUCGGAGUGACAUGAUGGGUAAAUGAUACGGCAACGAAAAGAAGCGAAAACUAUAAAAAAAUCCAGACUUCUCUC
Molecule: long non-coding RNA, 139 nt
Organism: Drosophila guanche
Lineage: Eukaryota; Metazoa; Arthropoda; Insecta; Diptera; Drosophilidae
Exons: 3
Source: RefSeq, a predicted model, not a curated record